AUUGAACGCUGGCGGCAUGCCUUACACAUGCAAGUCGAACGGCAGCACGGGAGCAAUCCUGGUGGCGAGUGGCGAACGGGUGAGUAAUAUAUCGGAACGUGCCCGGUCGUGGGGGAUAACGUAGCGAAAGCUACGCUAAUACCGCAUACGAUCUACGGAUGAAAGCGGGGGAUCGCAAGACCUCGCGCGAUUGGAGCGGCCGAUAUCAGAUUAGGUAGUUGGUGAGGUAAAGGCUCACCAAGCCGACGAUCUGUAGCUGGUCUGAGAGGACGACCAGCCACACUGGGACUGAGACACGGCCCAGACUCCUACGGGAGCAGCAGUGGGAAUUUGGGACAAUGGGCGCAAGCCUGAUCCAGCAAUGCCGCGUGCAGGAUGAAGGCC
Molecule: ribosomal RNA, 384 nt
Filed under: uncultured bacterium
Lineage: Bacteria
Description: bacterial SSU rRNA
Rfam family: Bacterial small subunit ribosomal RNA
Source: RNAcentral